This 253-nucleotide ribosomal RNA is filed under the name uncultured bacterium. Its description in RNAcentral is "partial 16S ribosomal RNA". It matches the Rfam family "Bacterial small subunit ribosomal RNA", at positions 524 to 776 of the family's 1533-position model. The record is from RNAcentral.
UACGUAGGGUGCGAGCGUUGUCCGGAAUUAUUGGGCGUAAAGAGCUUGUAGGCGGUCUGUCGCGUCUGCUGUGAAAAUCCGGGGCUCAACCCCGGACUUGCAGUGGGUACGGGCAGACUAGAGUGUGGUAGGGGAGACUGGAAUUCCUGGUGUAGCGGUGAAAUGCGCAGAUAUCAGGAGGAACACCGAUGGCGAAGGCAGGUCUCUGGGACGGUACUGACGCUGAGACGCGAAAGCGUGGGGAGCGAACAGG